GUGUCAGCAGCCGCGGUAAUACGGAGGGUGCAAGCGUUGUCCGGAUUUAUUGGGUUUAAAGGGUGCGUAGGCGGCCCGUUAAGUCAGUGGUGAAAUCCCAGGGCUCAACCCUGGAACUGCCAUUGAUACUGACGGGCUUGAGUUCGGUUAAGGCGGGCGGAACUGGUGGUGUAGCGGUGAAAUGCAUAGAUACCACCAAGAACCCCGAUUGCGUAGGCAGCUCGCUGAGCCGAAACUGACGCUGAGGCACGAAAGCGUGGGGAGCGAACAGGAUUAGAUACCCUGGUAGUCC
RNAcentral lists this ribosomal RNA (292 nucleotides) under uncultured bacterium. Its description in RNAcentral is "partial 16S ribosomal RNA". It matches the Rfam family "Bacterial small subunit ribosomal RNA", at positions 505 to 796 of the family's 1533-position model. The record is from RNAcentral.